GAGCGAACGAUGGGAGUUUGCUCCCUGAAGAUUAGCGGCGGACGGGUGAGUACACGUGGGUAACCUGCCUGUAAGAUUGGGAUAACUCCGGGAAACCGGAGCUAAUACCGGGAUAACAUUUUGAACCGCAUGGUUCAAAAUUGAAAGAUGGUUUCGGCUAUCACUUACAGAUGGACCCGCGGCGCAUUAGCUAGUUGGUGAGGUAACGGCUCACCAAGGCAACGAUGCGUAGCCGACCUGAGAGGGUGAUCGGCCACACUGGGACUGAGACACGGCCCAGACUCCUACGGGAGGCAGCAGUAGGGAAUCUUCCGCAAUGGACGAAAGUCUGACGGAGCAACGCCGCGUGAACGAUGAAGGCCUUCGGGUCGUAAAGUUCUGUUGUUAGGGAAGAACAAGUACCAGAGUAACUGCUGGUACCUUGACGGUACCUAACCAGAAAGCCACGGCUAACUACGUGCCAGCAGCCGCGGUAAU
This 477-nucleotide ribosomal RNA is filed under the name uncultured bacterium. Its description in RNAcentral is "bacterial SSU rRNA". It matches the Rfam family "Bacterial small subunit ribosomal RNA", at positions 64 to 524 of the family's 1533-position model. The record is from RNAcentral.